RNAcentral lists this long non-coding RNA (829 nucleotides) under Homo sapiens (human). Its description in RNAcentral is "HSALNT0042702". Lineage: Eukaryota; Metazoa; Chordata; Mammalia; Primates; Hominidae. The record is from RNAcentral.
GUAAGGCCUAGGAGCGGGUGGGUAGUGUGUCUCUGGUGACCUGUGCAUUGUUUGGGGUGCCAGCUUCAUGUCCAUCUUCAUGGUUCAGGCAGUGUGAUGGUUAAUUUCAUGUGUUAACUUCACUGGGCUAAGGGGUGCCCAGAUAGCUGCUGAAACAUUACUUCUGGGUGUGUCUGUGAGGGUGUUUCUGGCAAAGAUUAGCAUUUGAAUCGGUAGGCUGAGUAAGGAAGACUGCCCUCACCAAUGUAAAUGAGCAUCACCUAAUUCACUGAAGGCCUAAAUAGGACGAAAACUUAGAGGAAGGGCUAAUUUGCUCUCUCUGCUUAAGCUGUGACAUGCAUCUCCUCCUGAGCUCAGACACCAGUGCUUCUGGUUCUCGAGCCUUUGGGCUCAGACUGCGAUUUACAACAUUGGCUCCCCCGAUUCUCAAGUUUUUGGGUUUGGACUGAAACUAUUCCACUGGUUUCUUCUUGGGCCUUCAGCCUGCAGAGAGCAGAUCAUGGGACUUCUCAGCCCUCAUAAUCUCAUGAGACAAUGCCUCAUAAUAAAUCUCUUUCUCUAUAUCUAAAUAUAUCCUAUUGGUUCUGUUUCUCUGGAGAAUCCUAACUAUAGGCAAAUACAAGUCAACACUGAUUUCUUAUGUCUUGGUUGCCAGUUACACCGAAUUGGCUUGGCAAUCAUUUGAGCUUCCCUUCACCAUGGGCAAGGUUGCAGGAGCCUCACCAAGCAGCUUGCUUCCAUCCUCUGGUGUCUCAAGGAAUGUCUCCAGUUUCUUAUUUCCUUUGCAUUUCUAAAUCUACUUCAUUUGUUCAUGAAGGAUGCACUGAAU